This 387-nucleotide ribosomal RNA is filed under the name uncultured bacterium. Its description in RNAcentral is "bacterial SSU rRNA". It matches the Rfam family "Bacterial small subunit ribosomal RNA", at positions 28 to 416 of the family's 1533-position model. The record is from RNAcentral.
GACGAACGCUGGCGGCGUGCUUAACACAUGCAAGUCGAGCGGUAAGGCCCUUUCGGGGUACACGAGCGGCGAACGGGUGAGUAACACGUGGGUGACCUGCCCUCAGCUCUGGGAUAAGCCUGGGAAACCGGGUCUAAUACUGGAUAUGACUCCAUGACGCAUGUUGUGGGGUGGAAAGCCUUGUGCGGCUGAGGAUGGGCCCGCGGCCUAUCAGCUUGUUGGUGGGGUGAUGGCCUACCAAGGCGACGACGGGUAGCCGGCCUGAGAGGGCGACCGGCCACACUGGGACUGAGACACGGCCCAGACUCCUACGGGAGGCAGCAGUGGGGAAUCUUGCGCAAGUGGGCGAAAGCCUGACGCAGCGACGCCGCGUGAGGGAUGACGGCC